This is a long non-coding RNA of Ostrea edulis (European flat oyster), 333 nucleotides long. RefSeq lists it as uncharacterized. NCBI's taxonomy places the organism in Eukaryota, Metazoa, Mollusca, Bivalvia, Ostreida, Ostreidae. The record is from RefSeq and is a predicted model, not a curated record. The transcript has 2 exons.
GUUAAUGUGCUGUAUUAUUCUAAACCCCGAGUCAUAUCCUGCUUGGAGACAUAUUAAGAUGAUCUCAAGAGCCUUGCUUGUCGUGCUAUGUCUGUUCUCGCUGAUGAUUGCAGAGCACUCUGUCCAAGGCCAAGGUUCUUGUUGGACAUUUAGUGGAUGUGAACGAUGCAAAGUGCGAUGCACAAACAGGGGAUUUCGGCGUGGGCACUGCGAAUACUAUGCGACUAAGUGUCCAAGAGGAAGGCAUUGGAAUUGCACAUGUUGGAACUAAUUUGAUUGAUAUAAACAAAACCUGUAUCAAUUCAUACAAUAAAUUGAAAGUAUUGAAAGAAA